Molecule: long non-coding RNA, 5470 nt
Filed under: Pan troglodytes (chimpanzee)
Lineage: Eukaryota; Metazoa; Chordata; Mammalia; Primates; Hominidae
Description: lincRNA
Source: RNAcentral
UUUAUUUUUUGUGGAGAAGGGGUCUCACUAUAUUCCCCCAAGCUGGUCUUGAACUCCUGGACUUAAGCAAUCCUCCCACCUCAGCUUCCCGAAGAGUUGGGAUUAAAGGCGUGAGCCCCCAUGUCCGGCCAACAAGACUUCCUCGUGACUAUAAUGUGAGCAUAAUAUUAAUAGCUCUGAGAGAGAGAAGUGAACCAGAAGACCAACCUCAGUGUCAGGAAGUCUGGGCGUCUGUCUUCUGCAUGGCUGAAGACAUGGGGCUUUGGGCAAGUCAUCUGUUCUCUUUGAACUUUGGCUUCCUCACUUCUGAAAUAGGAGGGUCAGAGAAGAUGUUUCUUUUUGCUGAAAAGUUUUACAGUUCUCUGAUCUAUACCCCUUGGUCACACACAACCAAAAAGUAGAAAACAUGAGUGCAAUACUUUCCCACCAGUACUCCCAGUUUAUACAUUAUCUUCUCAAACCAAUAAGGAACUUCUACAAGGCCCUGUUAGUGAUGUGUUACAGGUGCCAGCAUUAGGGAAACUUUCAGACUGUUAUAUCUAUUCGUUCCUUCAUCCAUGUAUACUUCUAUUCAUUCUGUAUGCAGAGUAAUUUAUAUAUGUACAAUUACAUGGCAGUGAAAGAUAAUCAGAAAAAUGAAGAUUUUUUUUUUUUUGAGACAGAGUCUUGCUCUGUUGCCCAGGCUGGAGUGCAGUGGUGUGAUCUUGGCUCACUGCAACCUCCGCCUCCCGGGUUCAAGGGAUUCUCAUGCCUCAUCCUCCCGAGUAGCUGGGACUACAGACAUGCGCCACCAUACCCAGCUAAUUUUUGUAUUUUUAGUAGAGAUGGGGUUUUGCCAUGUUGGCCAGGCCAUUCUCGACCUCCUGGCCUCAAGCGAUCCUCCUGCCUUGGCUUCCCAAAGUACCGGGAUUCCAGGCAUGAGCCACCAUGCCCAGCCAGAAGGUUUUUUUAAAAAAACAAAGACACUCCUGAACUAACAAUUACAAAGAGCUAGUGACAAUUUCCCAAAUAAUUAUGCAUAACAGGAGCCCAUAUAUUGUUCUCAAAUCAUAAACCAUAACUGAUUUUGAGGAAAAGACAUUCUGUCCCACUGAUAUUCUUUUCAUGAGUAAGAUCUGGAUCUGUCUGGAGGCACAAAAUUGAUUUUUGCAUGAGGAAUCCCAACCCUACCACCAUUCCAUGGCUGAGGAAUUGGUUAUUACUCCUAUGGGAAAUUGGCAAUGUUGUUGGUACCCCAGCUUUCUCUUAAGACAAAAUUUAACAAAUGCAUACAUGCUAAGAUGCAUAUACUCAUAAGGCUUUGUGGGUCUCCUUUCUAAGGGGAAUUUGAAUACUAACAAGAACAAAGACUAAAUACCAAAAGGGAGCUUUCUAAUGGUAGAAUUUGGGAUAUCAGGUAGCCACAUAGAGCAGGGCUACUUUGGGGGCUGGAGACUGCAGAAACCCUUCAGGUUUAUACGUGUGAGUAAACCUAAUCACACUUGAUGUAUUGCUAGUGAAGUCCCAGCCCCCUGAGCCUUUGCAGAAAUCCAAAGAAUGCUAAAAAGGGCAGGUUUUAGUUCCUGCCAAUUAUUUCAUUUAACUACAAAUGCCCCCAGUUCCGAAUUUACUUCCCUUCCCACCAGAAAUAUGUCAUUUUGGAGGCUUGUGAAAAUUAAGCAUUAAGAAAAUCCCGCCUCCAUCCUAAUACACUGCAUCCACAAGUCCCAAACAAAAUCACUUCCUUGGCUUACACACAUAACUACCUGUUUCUGUUUAGGUCUGUGACUCAGAAAGUGCCUGGAAGAAGUCAUGAGAGGGAGUCGAUCCCAUCUUACCUGCCAUAGGAAGAAUAGGGCCUGCUCAGUAGAGUUCAGUGUGUGUGUUGAAGGUGGUGGUUCUUAGUCCUUCCCUGAAUUCACUAAUUCGCAUUGCACUCACUCUUCCUGAUCAAUGAGUUAUUGCUGAGAAAUCAUUAUAGUAAGUAAUACAGGUGUCCCCAGUAAAGCCAUCCCUCUCCUCCAAACCUCCGCUGUCCCUUGGGUUUUGGCUCCAGGAUCCUUGCCCCAUGUCCCAAAGAAUCCCUACCGUGGGCCUCCCUCCUCCUCUUUUGUCAAUUGCACUUGACCUUUUCAGGAAAAAGAAAUCAAUUGAUACCUUAGUCCUAAUGUUUGACCCUUUUCUAUCUCAGAAUAGAGAAGUCCCCAUAUUUGUUCUUUUUUUACUCAAGUUUAAUAUAGACCACCUAGGCACAGAAGCUCCGUGCUAUAUUCUGUUGCCUAUAAUUGUCCUUCCAUCUAAUUGGGAAAAGGUUACUCUAUUGAACCAUCUGCUGAUUCCCUUACCUUUUCACUCUUUUGUCAGUAUUCCUUUACCAGUAAAUUCUUGGUUAUCUAGGUCCUGAAGUUUCAUUCAUGUUUUUUUUAAAAGCUUUAAUUUUUCUUAGGAAAACUGUUUCUCUCAUCUUAAAGCAGACUAUGAUCUUUUCUACUUUGUUAUACAAUCUGAACAUAAUGAACACUCUAAAGUCAGGCAUGGAUUUUAUAAAAGCAGGUCGUAUUAAGAUUUUUUUAAAAAAGAACCAGGAUUGAGGAAUCUGUAGCUAAUAAUUUAAUAAUUCACCAGCAUGUUUUGGGCUCCCACUUCAUGCUGGCCACUGGGCUAGGCACUGAGGGUGCAGAAGCAAACAAAUCAGCCUCCUGGCCCUCAGAUUUGCAUUCCAGUGAGUCCAUUCAUAAAACCUAACUCAAAGCCAGCAACACCCCCAAAAGGGCUGUUGGAAGCUUUGUAGCUCAUCUGUACAGCUGUCUUGGUUCCUGUACGGGAUCUUACUUUCUUGGGAAAAUAUGUUCUAAAUCCUGUUUCCUUUGGCCAUUAAAAAUCCAUGCUGUCCCUAAUCAAUAUAUAGUUAUGUGUGACCUUCUUAGAAUAAAAAAAAUGCUGCUGGACAGCCUUUGAAGGGAAAGGCAGAGAAAUCUGUUUUGAUGGCUUGAAAAUAAGUGAAAAGGUUUUUAGGGAAAGCUAACAAGCUUUCAAAGAUUUCAGAUCUGCCAGCAUUCAUUCAUUAAGGCAUGGGAUUAGGCCAAAAGAGCCUCCUACCAAGGGAGAGACAGGAACCAUGUAAGGAGAUCUGUGAGACCGCUGUGGAAGAGUAUUGAAAUAGAAGCCAGACCUGUAGACGUAUUUGUUAAUAUGUGUGCCAAGCCAAAGUACAGGAGGAGGCUUGGAGGCAUGGAGUUGUGGUGGAAGCAGGUUCUGGAAAGCAGAACUCUGAAGCUGGCUCAUUCUCACCAAGUCAUCUGGCCCAGCCUCCCGCCUCCAAGCACAUCCUGCCUGCAGAGGGUCUGGCUAGCUGCCUUUUCAGCUCUCGAGGGAUAGAGAUUCUACAACCUCCCUCUGUCAUCAGUUCCAGAGCCACUCCCCUUUGCACUAGAAGUUCUUGCUUUCAAAGAAUGAGGGUGUGAGGGAGGGAGGGGUCAAGAAACAGAGUGACAGGGGAAACAGGCAGAACAAGUCAGGGCAAAGGACCCCAGCAUGAAGAGUUGUGGAGGUGGAGGUGGGGAAGCAGCCUCACAUCUCACACUUCCUUCCUUCUCUUAAAUGUGAGCAGCUGACUCCAAGCCUUGUGGAAACUCUAGAAGGUAGAACCAGCCAUCUGGGGAAGCUGGCCUUACAGAUGCCCUGUCUGGCAUAGUGGAGGUUCCUGUGCUCUGAGAACGCAGUGUGAAUCUAGACAUCCACUGCAGCCUGGGAAGAGCUGUGUUUUCUUCAAAAGUCUUUAACUUUCACAGUCACCCCUCUAAAGAAAUGUUCUCUGAUUGAAGGCAUGCUUCUAUUCCUACUUUAUUUUGUUUCAUGCAUUCUGCCAGAGUAAUUACUUUUCAUACCAAUUCUUGGAUGCAGAGAAAUCUCUGGUAGUCUAAGGGGAUUUCGAUCCAAGUAAAGCUACUAUCUCCUAUUCCAUCCAGACUUUUCCGUCUGCCUCCAUUCUCUCAGUCACAUACCGAGAAGCAAGCCAGAAAGCCUGUCCAACCAAAAUCACUCUCCAAAGCCCAAGCACUUUAUUGUUCUCCCUGUCUGUUCUCGAGCCAAGGUGUAUUUGGCCUCAUUUUAUGCCAUUAGUUGUCUGGCUUUCAUGGCUCUGCACCACAUUACAGUCAGAGCAGGAAGGCCAGCAGUGGAGAUAGAAUUAUGGCAGAAACCCAGAGUAGAGGCCUCUGCUGGUGAGGGAGCCUGCAGCACUCUCCACGCUGGUGGGUCCUAGCAUGCCCAACAGACCCCCAUCCCUUCCCAUCAGCCUUGGGCCUUGAGUCUCAUUCCAACUCAUCCCCUCCCCUUUCCCUUCUUUCCAGUCCCAGGCGACACUUGAUGCCUCUGACUCCUUUGAAGAGGGCAUCAAGAAGUGAAAGAACAAAGUCCUUUUCUGUUCGGGAUCUGGGUCCAUCCUGGGAGAAGUUUUUGGCAGAAAUGGCUGCAGUGGAACCCUCUGACUGCCAGGGUGAAAUAGUGCUCCAGCAGGCUGUGGCAGACUCGCUGCCAGAAUGGGUCAGGACUGGCCCAGAGGACAGGGUCAUCUCUUGAGAGUCCUCCCAGCUCCAGGGCCUGAUUUUAAAGCAGUAACACAAGGAUAUAGGUUAUAUACAGGCUCCUGGAAGGCAGGUGCCGCAGCUCCUGUGACACCCCAUAUGCCUGAGCAAGCUUCUCCAGCACAAGAGAUGAUGCAAGUAUGAAUGGGUGCGGGGGGAGCUUAAAACCUGCCAACACUGAGACUUGAUGCCAGGGGCCGUGCACCCGCUCUGCCACCUGCUAGGUCUGUGCAAUGGUCAGAGCAGAGGUGUGUGAUGAGUUCAGCUCCCAAGCACAUCCACACUUAGGAAGUGUUCUGUGUGUUUUUAAAUAAUCCUUACCAUGUAAAGAUUGUAUUACAUUUGUAUACAAAAUUUUUUUGCAUUUUACUUUUGUAAUAUUUGGGGUUUUAUAGAUUUUUAUUUUAUGGCCAAGUAUACUUUUGUAAGGAAAUGUUGAAGUCUUGAGUAUUUUUAUUCUUUUAAAAAACUAUAGUUAGUGUCAACUGUGAGCACUGAUAAAUAUUAUUCAUGUGUGGUUUUCCUUCUUUUUAAUCCAGACUUUUUAAGAAACUGUUUUGGCAUAGAGCUUUACUUAAAAUGCUGCUUCAUUUUACACAUUGUGAAUACUGAAGAUUCUAAAAAAUAAAGAUGCAUUUAAAAUCUCUGUGCUGUUCCAUUGUAGAAAUGGUAAUGUGCAUUGCUUUGCCAAAGUGGUAAUUAAAUGUUUAAUGGUUUAGAACUCCUAGUUCACAACAGGGCUUCUCGUCAUCACUUGCAGCGUGCGAGCUUCCAAAUAAGCCGCCAUUUCUUUGGAAAACGCACGCACUUAGGCAUGGCGAUCUCCUGUUCCGUUAGGAAAUACGGUUAUGUUGACAUUAUGGUUACUGUGCUUGUGGUUUUGCAAUAAACAUGUAUUGAAAGCA